GUGCCAGCAGCCGCGGUAAUACGGAGGGUGCAAGCGUUAUCCGGAUUUACUGGGUUUAAAGGGUGUGUAGGCUGUUUUGUAAGUCCGAAGUGAAAUCUUUCCGCUUAACGGGAAACUUGCUUUGGAUACUAUAAAACUUGAAUGACGUGGAGGUAAGCGGAAUAGGUCAUGUAGCGGUGAAAUGCAUAGAGAUGACCUGGAACACCGAUAGCGAAGGCAGCUUACUACGCGUAUAUUGACGCUGAGGCACGAAAGCGUGGGUAGCGAACAGGAUUAGAUACCCUGGUAGUCCACGCCCUAAACGAUGAUUACUCGUCAUUGGCGAUAUACCGAUCAGUGACCAAGCGAAAGUGAUAAGUAAUCCACCUGGGAAGUACGUUCGCAAGAAUGAAACUCAAAUGAAUUGACGG
RNAcentral lists this ribosomal RNA (410 nucleotides) under uncultured bacterium. RNAcentral describes it as "bacterial SSU rRNA". It matches the Rfam family "Bacterial small subunit ribosomal RNA", at positions 505 to 916 of the family's 1533-position model. The record is from RNAcentral.